Molecule: long non-coding RNA, 1353 nt
Filed under: Olea europaea subsp. europaea
Lineage: Eukaryota; Viridiplantae; Streptophyta; Magnoliopsida; Lamiales; Oleaceae
Source: RNAcentral
AUUGACAGUUUUAUUACACAUUCUAUUGCUAAUGGACACACUAUGAUAUUGGUUCUAGAAGUUUUAUUUGGACGAAUAAAUGUUCUCUCGUACGUGCUGUAACUCCAAUUAAAGAUGCAAAAGGACCAACAAAUGAUGUUCAGCCAGCUAUACUGAAUAGUGAUUUUCUCUCUAAAGAAGCAGAAAACAUUACUCUUCCUUCAAGUCUAUUGGUAAGAUUUUCAAUUGCUAAGAUCUUGAAAAAUCGUGCAGCAUGCUGUUGAAACCGAUGGCAAUCUUGAGGUAAUGAUAUACAUUUCAUAUGAUUAUUUGUUUUUGACAAUGUAAUUGUUCAUAAAAGAAUUUUUCUUAAGAUCUUGUCCCAUUUAGCUGGAUUUGGCAUCUAAACACUGUUGCAUUUGAAAAGGAGCUGAAAUAGAAAUAUCAGAACGUGAAGUUCAAACUCAGAAUCGUUAUAUUAAUGAACGGGGUUGACUGCUGUGCUCUUAGGAGUGUGUCAUGUACAAUAAAACUAGUUAUGGUGGAAGGGAUGCUUUUAACAUUGUUGAUGCUAUUAGCCAGAAAGUUGGACUUACAUCAGACUUUUCAAAGUCAGACGAAAUGCAGAAAAGUUCUCUCUUUAUGUCUGCAAAAGUCAGCUCUGCCCCAUAAAUCAUCAAGAAGAUCUACUGCUACAAGCGUGGCUGAAAUUGAAGAUUUUCACAAUAUGAGACUACUGAUCAGAAGAAAGAGGUUCAUCCAAUUCUUGUAUCGAUUCUUGAUCCAUUGUUUGCUCUCCUUGUAAGGAAAAUAUUAGAGAACAAAUUGUAGAAAUAUAUAGUCACCUAAAGAGCUAGGUAGUGCCAGCAGAACUGGAACAGAGCGAUGGGGAAAAUGAUGAUGAUUGUAUCAAGCGGCUGAAGAGAUUUGCAGAGAAGUGCUUUGAGAUUCUGGUACUUUCCUAUGGAUAACUUGUGGGGAUUCUGAACAAAUUUUCCAGAGAAUGCAAGAGGGUCUAAAUAUUAUUAAAUUCAUCUUGGCUUCAAAGUUUGAAACCUUCAUCUGAAUGUUUUUAAUUGAUUUAUACAAUCAAUUUCAACUCAUUAAGGCAACUUUGCUGACAAAUUGCUGGAAGACAUUGCUGACGGACUUGGCGAAGAUUAUGAGGAAGAAAGAAAACUGAUCUUAUCUUUCUUUAUAGGUUCUGAGUUAUCUCGUUUACAGUGUUGCCAUUGUUUAGUUUGCUACUACACAUCUUGUAUGCAUAUUCAGUGAAUGCAUAUUUCCUUUACACAACCUGAAUAGUAAUACCUGUUGGGAAUUGAUUUAAACAUGCACAGCGGAAUUUAACAAACUUCAAUUCCCAUUCAGGAU